GAUGAACGCUGGCGGCGUGCCUAAUACAUGCAAGUCGAGCGAACGGACGAGAAGCCUGCUUUUCUGAUGUUAGCGGCGGACGGGUGAGUAACACGUGGAUAACCUACCUAUAAGACUGGGAUAACUUCGGGAAACCGGAGCUAAUACCGGAUAAUAUUUUGAACCGCAUGGUUCAAAAGUGAAAGACGGUCUUGUUGUCACUUAUAGAUGGAUCCGCGCUGCAUUAGCUAGUUGGUAAGGUAACGGCUUACCAAGGCAACGAUGCAUAGCCGACCUGAGAGGGUGAUCGGCCACACUGGAACUGAGACACGGUCCAGACUCCUACGGGAGGCAGCAGUAGGGAAUCUUCCGCAAUGGGCGAAAGCCUGACGGAGCAACGCCGCGUGAGUGAUGAAGGUCUUCGGAUCGUAAAACUCUGUUAUUAGGGAAGAACAUAUGUGUAAGUAACUGUGCACAUCUUGACGGUACCUAAUCAGAAAGCCACGGCUAACUACGUG
Molecule: ribosomal RNA, 497 nt
Filed under: uncultured bacterium
Lineage: Bacteria
Description: partial 16S ribosomal RNA
Rfam family: Bacterial small subunit ribosomal RNA
Source: RNAcentral